GCAAGGUAAUGCUAUAAAUGCUGAAGUGGCUGCACCUGGUGUGUAUGAGUGCCUUAGUUUGAAGCAAAGUGGCUGCUUCGUGUCAGGAUACCUGUGAGUCUGCAGGGAAAGGGAUUUCAUUCUGGGCUUGGCUCAGAUUGAGCAUUGUGCCACAACAAACAGGAGACCUUCCUGAUAGGGUGGGGAGAUGGCUGUUGCCUCUGUCUGCCAUAGCUUUUCUGUCCUUAUCUUGUGUCACCACCAGGCUUCCUGCCUGUGACACCCGUUUCUCUUUCUCUCUGCUUCUCAAGUGGCAGCCAGGGAGAUAAUUGGUAUUUUUGACACUGUCUGUUGAGCACUUUGUGGCAGGAGCUGCCAGGAUGAAGCCAUGAAUUAGAUAAUUAAAGUUAAUUAGAGGCUUUCCAGGGCUAUGUUACCAUACUCCAAGAGGACAGUGUGCUCUUUUCACAGCCAUUGUAGGGAAUGGUGUCUUUGGGAGAGAGGAGUAAGAGGUGUCAGUGGCACUGAUGGUGGUUGUGGUGGCCAAGAGAAGGGUGUUCCAGCUUCUUAGUGGCAUUGGAAGUGCUGGGGUGGAGCAAACAGCUCAGAAAAUUGAGAAGCAUGGUUGGAUGCAGACUGAAGUGAGAAGACAUGAUGGUGCAGCCAAGAGAACCAGUUGUCAGCAGCAGCUGUUGGGAUUCAGCUUUUGCUGCAGCAAAAGCAGUGGAUCUCUAAAACCUAUCAGGGAGAGUUGGAAGAAAGAGCUUGUCAGUGCAGCACCCAUAGAAACCAAGGCCUGAGUGAUCUCUAAAAGGCACUUGUCCACCCACACCUGCCAGAUGACAGCUCCAUUCUGGCAUGUGUGGCCUGCUUCUGCAAGAAGACAUCAUGGACCCUUCUAUGACCCCUGCUUCUCUAAGAAGCUUAGCUUGCCUGUGCUUGAGUGUGCAGUGGACAAGAGCACCAGAGCAGUGGUGGAGAGUGAAGGAGAGAAAUGAUUCUCCAGCUUUUGCUGUCCCCAUCAGACAAGCUGCUCUGUCAGCAUCCACUCUGCCAGUUCUGGGUUGUUUGUCUGUGGAGAUGAUGAGGAGACACUGCUCACUCAUCACCAUCCAAAUCCUUAACAGAGAAGGGGACACUAAUUUCUCCAGCUCUAUUGUGCAGUCACUGUGUGUCUGAAGGAGAAGCUGCCUGAGGCAGUUUAGGUGACA
Molecule: long non-coding RNA, 1190 nt
Organism: Pogoniulus pusillus (Red-fronted tinkerbird)
Lineage: Eukaryota; Metazoa; Chordata; Aves; Piciformes; Lybiidae
Exons: 2
Source: RefSeq, a predicted model, not a curated record